Molecule: ribosomal RNA, 1454 nt
Filed under: Bacillus pumilus
Lineage: Bacteria; Bacillati; Bacillota; Bacilli; Caryophanales; Bacillaceae
Description: bacterial SSU rRNA
Rfam family: Bacterial small subunit ribosomal RNA
Source: RNAcentral
GUGAGUGAUGAAGGUUUUCGGAUCGUAAAGCUCUGUUGUUAGGGAAGAACAAGUGCAAGAGUAACUGCUUGCACCUUGACGGUACCUAACCAGAAAGCCACGGCUAACUACGUGCCAGCAGCCGCGGUAAUACGUAGGUGGCAAGCGUUGUCCGGAAUUAUUGGGCGUAAAGGGCUCGCAGGCGGUUUCUUAAGUCUGAUGUGAAAGCCCCCGGCUCAACCGGGGAGGGUCAUUGGAAACUGGGAAACUUGAGUGCAGAAGAGGAGAGUGGAAUUCCACGUGUAGCGGUGAAAUGCGUAGAGAUGUGGAGGAACACCAGUGGCGAAGGCGACUCUCUGGUCUGUAACUGACGCUGAGGAGCGAAAGCGUGGGGAGCGAACAGGAUUAGAUACCCUGGUAGUCCACGCCGUAAACGAUGAGUGCUAAGUGUUAGGGGGUUUCCGCCCCUUAGUGCUGCAGCUAACGCAUUAAGCACUCCGCCUGGGGAGUACGGUCGCAAGACUGAAACUCAAAGGAAUUGACGGGGGCCCGCACAAGCGGUGGAGCAUGUGGUUUAAUUCGAAGCAACGCGAAGAACCUUACCAGGUCUUGACAUCCUCUGACAACCCUAGAGAUAGGGCUUUCCCUUCGGGGACAGAGUGACAGGUGGUGCAUGGUUGUGGUGAAAUGCGUAGAGAUGUGGAGGAACACCAGUGGCGAAGGCGACUCUCUGGUCUGUAACUGACGCUGAGGAGCGAAAGCGUGGGGAGCGAACAGGAUUAGAUACCCUGGUAGUCCACGCCGUAAACGAUGAGUGCUAAGUGUUAGGGGGUUUCCGCCCCUUAGUGCUGCAGCUAACGCAUUAAGCACUCCGCCUGGGGAGUACGGUCGCAAGACUGAAACUCAAAGGAAUUGACGGGGGCCCGCACAAGCGGUGGAGCAUGUGGUUUAAUUUGAAGCAACGCGAAGAACCUUACCAGGUCUUGACAUCCUCUGACAACCCUAGAGAUAGGGCUUUCCCUUCGGGGACAGAGUGACAGGUGGUGCAUGGUUGUCGUCAGCUCGUGUCGUGAGAUGUUGGGUUAAGUCCCGCAACGAGCGCAACCCUUGAUCUUAGUUGCCAGCAUUCAGUUGGGCACUCUAAGGUGACUGCCGGUGACAAACCGGAGGAAGGUGGGGAUGACGUCAAAUCAUCAUGCCCCUUAUGACCUGGGCUACACACGUGCUACAAUGGACAGAACAAAGGGCUGCAAGACCGCAAGGUUUAGCCAAUCCCAUAAAUCUGUUCUCAGUUCGGAUCGCAGUCUGCAACUCGACUGCGUGAAGCUGGAAUCGCUAGUAAUCGCGGAUCAGCAUGCCGCGGUGAAUACGUUCCCGGGCCUUGUACACACCGCCCGUCACACCACGAGAGUUUGCAACACCCGAAGUCGGUGAGGUAACCUUUAUGGAGCCAGCCGCCGAAGGUGGGCAAGAUU